This 253-nucleotide ribosomal RNA is filed under the name uncultured bacterium. RNAcentral's name for it is "partial 16S ribosomal RNA". It matches the Rfam family "Bacterial small subunit ribosomal RNA", at positions 524 to 776 of the family's 1533-position model. The record is from RNAcentral.
UACGAAGGGUGCGAGCGUUAUUCGGAAUUACUGGGCGUAAAGAGCGUGCAGGCGGCUCUAUAAGUCAAUCGUUAAAGAGCUCGGCUUAACCGGGCAAAGGCGAGUGAAACUGUAGAGCUAGAGUGCGGGAGAGAAAGGUAGAAUUCUCGGAGUAGCGGUAAAAUGCGUAGAUCUCGAGAGGAAUACCGGUUGCGAAGGCGGCCUUUUGGCCCGUAACUGACGCUAAAGCGCGAAAGCGUGGGGAGCAAACAGG